GCUCAUUGGAAGUGAAUCUGACUAGCAUCCGUGAAGAUGUGGGUUUGAUCCCUGGCCUCGCUCAGUGGGUUGGGGAUCAGCAUUGCCAUGUUCUGUGGUGUAGGUUGCAGAUGUGGCUUGGAUCCUGUGUGGCUGUGGCUGUGGCUGUGGCGUAGGCCCGCUGCUGUAGCUCUCAUUUGACCCCUAGCUUGGAAACUUCCGUAUGCUGCAGGUAUGGCCCUAAAAAGCAAAAAAAAAUAAAGGGGGAGGGGAUUAUUACAUAGAUUAGGUUCUCGCUGCUGAAGAAUUCAGGUAACUGCAGGGUUGUUUCUCAAUCUCCUUUCUUUUCCUGCUUCCUUUCUCCCUCUUCCUCUGUAAUCUUAGUUGACCAUCAGGUAAAGCUGAACAGAAUUUUAUGCUUCCUAUUUCUACUCUUUAAAGUGGAUGCAUGGAGGGUUUUUUAUUUUAUCUUUUAGAAAAACCCAACAAGUAAAUUAAAAUCCUUUGUAUUUGUGUAACUCUCCAUUGAUUUUCCUCUCCCCGUACAUCAGCCUCCCCACUUUCUGAGCCAAAGAAGUUGGUACUCCUUCCUUGUGGGGAGAAAACAGACCCAACAUGAGCCUCUGGACUUCACCACUUUAAACUUCGCUAUUUAACUCUCGUGGUAAUUUGCAUAGAUCUACAUAUGUUAUGCAAUCAGCCUGCUCUCCUUACAUUUAAGCCUAAAAUAAUUUUGCUUUUAUGAGGGUUUUCUUCUCUGCUGCCUUCUUUAUUUCUUACUCGUUCUGAGAUGUAGAUUUUUGUAAAAGGAAUUGAUGAAAGGCCAAGGGUAUAAACACGUUCCCAAACAGCCUUGGGGGAGAGGGGAACUGGGGAGGGGCAUGGUGAGACUGUCUUUGGGAUCCAAUUAUUCUUUCACCGGAUGUUUAUUGAGCACCUACUAUGUGCAAGGCUCUGUGCCACAUGCUAGGAAUAUAUAGUGGUGAGGAAGCCAGGUACAGUUCUUACUCACAUAAAGCUCAGACUCUGCCGGGGAACAUAGACAAUAGACAAAUAAGCACAUAAAUGCAGGCAUGAUUUCUGAUGCUAAUAAGUACGAAAAUGGAAACACAGUGAUUGGAAAACUGGUUUAGAUUGGGUAGUUCAUAGAAAGUCUCUCUGGAAAAGAGAAAUUUGAGCUGAGGCCUGAAUGAUAAUAAGGAGGCAACCAUGUGAACAGCUCUGAGCUUAGAGGGUUUAAGGAUCAGAGGGAGGUCUCGCAUUUCACAUGCUUCCAGUGCAAAGAAGGAGAAGCUGCCUCAAUUCAAAACGGUGCAAAAUGAAGGAAUUGUAUGACCUCAUGUAAAGAAGCCUGAGGGCAGAGGCGGCGGGGUUCUAAGGUUGGUUAAUUGAGUACAUCAGCCUCAUCCAGGGCCAGACCCUUCCCUUCUCUCUGCUCAGUCGCCCUCUUGUGCUGAGGUCCUUCUGGAUGCCAGGAGGGCCGCCACAGCUCCGCCCUCACGUGAUGUCCAGGGGGAGAGGAAGAGGACAAAUCCUUCCCUUUCAGAACAGGGAACCCCCUCCCCGACACUGUGCAGAUUCCCCUUCACCCCUCACAGCAGAAGACUUUCACCCCAUGCGUCCCUACACUGGUCAUCAGUAAGGGGAAUGAAGGGCUCCGGUUGGUUUAGAGGGGGUCAGAGGAGCAGUCUGGCUGCUACUGAACUUCAUGGAAGAACCAGUGCUCCCAACUCGCGACAGAAACAGGCUUCUGAGAGUAACACUGGGCUUCUGUGAGCAAGGAGAAGUGCGGGUGGCUGGCCUUCAUUCCUGCUCAGGACUACGGCUGUAGGACAGUGUGGCUAGAGCACUGGUUGAAGGGGUUAUUCUCCAGAUGGAAUUAGGGAAUGCAGAGUUUGUUUUAGGUUCUUCAAACUUCAUCUUUCAGAAUCCAGUAAGUCCCUAUUUUGCACCCAUUUCUCCCUCCAGCACUGUCCCUCUCCUUAUCCCCUCCCCCAAGAGCAGCCUCCGUCCCGCCCCGCCCCGCCCCCUGCUCUGGGUGUGGAGUUCUAGAAAGGCCGAAAGGCUCAAGUAUCAGACAGUGAUUCUACCACUAGCUGAUGACGCGGGGUGCCUCACUUCCCCGCCUUAAGGCUUAGUCUUGUCAUCUGUAGCAAUGACACAAUAACAUUUGUCCAGCUAGCUCUUUAGGGAGGUUGCAAGGAUCAAAUGGAAGAGUUUCAGUGUGUCCGUUGACAGCCCUAAGUGCCAUAGUUAUUAUUAUUGCUGUUGCCAUCAUUCAUCGUCCAACGAGACGAAAAAGGGUUUUAAAUUUUGAGUAGUCACAUCCUCCAGUUGCUUGGGAAGGACCAUUUUAGAAAGCCGUGUGCUCUGAGGGGGUAAGGGUGGUGGCCUUGGCUCCCUGUUGCCUUUCAUUCCCCCAGAGCUUUCCUCAGUGUCCCCCAGCCCCCAGCAGCCUUCCGUGCUUCGCAUCAGAGACGUCCUUAGAAACAAGCUGGGCUGAUGUCAAUAAAAUGGAAGCUAAAGCUGGCUGAGUUAUUAUCCUUUUUUCUUGAUAAAAAGAGUGGAUGUAUUUUCAUUACUGGCAGAGUGCUUUUAGCUGGUGCGGACAAUUAAGCCUUGGAAAUGCAGCAUCCAUUUCACACUGAGAGAAGAUUUGAGGGAUGACUCACCAGACACCCAGGCCCGGAGGAGCCAAAAGCAUGGCCACUGUACCCAAUAAUAAAAAUCACAGGAUUUUUUGUGGUGAGAAGGUAGCGCAGCCUGGGCUGACCCCAGAUGAUCUGCCCACAGUGGAUGCUGCUGUGCCUGCUGCUGCUGGCAGGAGAGCUGAGAGCCUUGCUGCUUCUCCACGGAUCUCAGAGCCUCCGCGCCUCCUCUACCUUCCGGCCCCCAUCUCUUGGGAAGCCCGGCAGGGGGGACCUCCAGGUUACGGGUAGUAACGUCUAUCAAAUGCUACCUUUUGGGUUCAGACCCUCCUCUUGGUUUUUCCUCAUGAUCUUUUGAUCACCUCCCUCACCGCUUAAGCCAGACUCUGUGUCCAAAGACUCAGAUCUCUGGGACCCACAGAGGUGUCCCGUCCAAAGCUACAGGAUCAAUGGAAAGCCCUCCUCUAGGAGACAAAGGACACGCCUCCGCCCUCCUCUUUCCUUCUCUCCCUUCUUUGUUCCUCUCUUUCAAAGACAACCCUGCAGUUCUAAUGUCUAGCCCCCAGAGGCAGGGGUGAGAUUGGCUUUCCUGCCCCCACCCAAACUGCGGGGAAGAGGCCUCCCGUGCAAAUUCUUGAAAGCAAUACCUUUGCUGGGGGUGUGGCUUCUCUCUACCUCCUUCCUUAAGAACAACUAGGGGCAGGGCCUGUUUUGCCACCUCCUUGUCUCUGCAUCUCCUGCUAUAGUGAGCUCUUAGAUGUUUGAUGAAUGAAUGAAUGAGUGGACGAAGCCACCUCUGUGUUGCUUUAUUUCUCGCAGGUUUAUUUCCUUGUUCUGUUCAACAUACAUCUCCCCCCAUCAUCACUUAGAAAGUGGAAAUUACUUCAGAGAUCAGGGACUGAGUACCAGCGGAGUGAAAGCAAUCUCGUACAUUAUUACGAUUUUUUUCUUAAACCACUUAAGCGCGAGUUUCCCUCCUGUUUACUGUGAGAAGGGAUCCCGAAUCAGUCAUGAACUUUUGUUUGCCUUGAGGGAGUGAGAGGAGAAGGCUGGGGUGGUUGUCCAAGCUUAUUAUCCUCCGCAUUACUCAGACGUGUUCCCCUGAGUUUUUGCAUGAUUUUAUUUUAAUGCUGUUAUUUGUAUUAGGCGAGUCUCCAGCUCAGCCAGGCCAAAAAGGGAGGCGGGGAGAACAGGGAGGAGCUGAUGGAAAAAGAAAUAUCCUGAAGGUUCCUGAUGAUCUGACCAUAGCUUUAAUAUGAAUCAAAUUUGCUCUAACCUCCUUUCCCCCAGUCAGCAUUUCUGCUCGAAAUAAUUUGUAAUUAUCAGACCCCACUUAGGCUAGAAGACUCCUUGCAAAGGACUUUGAUAUGAUUAGGGGAAGGCUUGGAAAUAUAACUUGUAUGGUUCUUGCCCUCUCUGCCAAUGACAUUCCUGGAGAAGUCACCUUGUCCUUCCCGGCAGGAGAAGGGCAGAAUAUCGGGCAGAAUAGGAAGCUGGGGACCAGACUUCAGGGUCACUGGGAUCGCUGCUCCAAGAAGAUGGUUUCCUCGAAUAAUGAGCCUGAAAGAUUUCCCAUCUCAGCAUUUCAAGAAUUGAGAGUCGGUGAAUGGCCCAGAGUGGGACGGUGCCAAGUACAUGCUGACCAGCAGCUAUGCCCAGCCCUUCAGCACGCAGGCCCUUAGGUAACUGCUCAGCUCGCAGCAUUGGUCAGUCCAAGAGAGUCCUGGUCUUGCUCCUGGCUGAGACUAGUGACAGUCCCCUCUACCCCUUGCCACAUCUUAACCCUUCAUCUCUGCAGCAAGUGAGCCAGAGAAGGACAGGCAUUAAGCAAAGGUACACUGAAAGAUACAGAUUUUGUUGAAAGAAAUUAAAGAAAACCUCAGUAAAUGAAAACACAUUGUGUUUGUUACCGAACAAACACAGGAACCAGGUUCAUUUGCUUGACACUUGACAAGCAGCAAGUAAAAUGCUGAGACACGGAGGUUUGCAGCAGAGUAAGGGUUUAGGCACAAGGCAGCCAAGUGAGGAGAUGUGAGAACAGGUCUUGAGUCCGCUUCCUUAAAGGUGAGGGGCUUGGGUAUUUAUGGGAUAAAGGAGCAAGGGGGUCUGAGUCGUGGGGAGAGAUGAUUGGAGACAAGGAAAAGGUGACGCAGCUGGUGUUCUGCGCGUGUGCAUCUGAGUCACGUGCUUCAUCACGGGAGGCAGGCUGGGAAAAUGGCUAUGUUAGCAUGAGGGUGCAGUUCUGGCCUUCUGGCUUCUAAAUGCCAACCAUUAGACACUGGAGUCGUCCCAGUUGAAUGAUUGGUGGUCUUGACUGGUUUGAACGGGGCAAGACUAACUCGAUGUUUCUGAAAAAAAAUUUAAGCAACUGUUGCUAUAGUCACCCAUACGUCAGAGGUGUUAUCUAUAGGUGGUUCAAGGAGUCUUGUGACAUACUGCCUAGGCUACGUGAAGCUUGAAAGGUAUGCAGUUUGCAGAAACAAUCACAGCAAGCUUUGUGAAGGCAGGUUACAGGAUCUUUUUUUAUUAAGUUUAAGGGAUCUGAUGACUGCCCUUGGUUUCACAUUCAAGGCAGAAUUGUUAUUGCGAAGAUGGUGACAUAUUCUCUACAGUAACUUACAGAGUCAACACAUUCCUAUCAAAAUGCUAGCUGCUCCACAAGAAGAAAGCUAAACAAACUGAAAAUCAACACCUUUUCUUCGAUUCCUCAGAAAUUGAGCUUGCAGGACAAACUGCCACCCUGAAAACCGAAGAGAUAGAUGGUUGUGGAGCAUAUGCAGACCGGCGUACCUGAAGAAGCUGCUGGAAUGGGAAGCAGUGAGAUUGAAGCACUGGGACUUGUGCCAGUGCAGGGGAUCCUUGAAAAUAUCGUGCAAAGUGAAAGGAGCCGGUCACAAAAGACUGUACAUUAUGUGAAUCCCUUGGUGGGAAUAUCCAGAAUAGACGAGGCCAUGGAGACAGAAAGUGGGUUGGUGGUGGUCAGGCCAGGGUGAGUGCGAAAUGAGGAGAGACUGCUCAUGGACACAGGGUUUCUUUGUGGGAUGAUGAAAAUGUUCUCUUGUUAGCUUGUGCGGAUGGGUGUACAAGUUGUAAAUGUAUUUUAAAAAUACUGAAUUGUUUGUUUUAAAACGGUGCGUAUUAAUCUAUGUGAAUCCUAUCUCAAUUAAAAAAUAAAGCUUAGGGAGUUCCCGUUUUGGCUCAACAGUAACACAUCCAACUAGCAUCCCUGAGGACACAAGUUCUAUCCUGGCCUCACUCAGUGGGUUAAGGAUCUGGCAUUGCCGUGAGCUGUAGUGUAGGUCACAGGCGUGGUUCUGAUCCUGUGUGGCUGUGGUGUAGGCUGGCAGCUGCAGCUCCAAUUUGACCCCUAGCUUGGGAACUU
Molecule: long non-coding RNA, 6009 nt
Filed under: Sus scrofa (pig)
Lineage: Eukaryota; Metazoa; Chordata; Mammalia; Artiodactyla; Suidae
Description: lncRNA (ENSSSCG00000059825.1)
Source: RNAcentral